This 370-nucleotide ribosomal RNA is filed under the name uncultured organism. RNAcentral describes it as "partial 16S ribosomal RNA". It matches the Rfam family "Bacterial small subunit ribosomal RNA", at positions 527 to 896 of the family's 1533-position model. The record is from RNAcentral.
GUAGGUGGCAAGCGUUGUCCGGAAUUAUUGGGCGUAAUGCGCGCGCAGGCGGUUCUUUAAGUCUGAUGUGAAAGCCCACGGCUCAACCGUGGAGGGUCAUUGGAAACUGGAGAACUUGAGUACAGAAGAGGAAAGCGGAAUUCCACGUGUAGCGGUGAAAUGCGUAGAGAUGUGGAGGAACACCAGUGGCGAAGGCGGCUUUCUGGUCUGUAACUGACGCUGAGGCGCGAAAGCGUGGGGGAGCAAACAGGAUUAGAUACCCUGGUAGUCCACGCCGUAAACGAUGAGUGCUAAGUGUUAGGGGGUUUCCGCCCUUAGUGCUGCAGCUAACGCAUUAAGCACUCCGCCUGGGAGUACGGCCGCAAGGCUG